AUUAUUAAAAUAUAAAUGAUAAUUUUAGAUUAGUAUUAAAUAUAUUUAUGAAAUUAAAAUAAUUUGGCAGUAUUUUAGUCUAUUCAGAGGAAUUUGUUUUAUAAUUGAUAGUCCUCAUUAAAUCUUACUUAUUUUAUUUAAUUUGUAUAUCGUUGUCAUUAGAAUAUUUUAUAAGAAAAAUAAAUUUCUUAAAUUAAUAUAAAAUUUUAUGUCAAAUCAAGGUGCAGUUUAUAUAUAAGUAAAAAUGAAUUACAAUAAUAUUGAAUUAUAUGAAUUAAAAAUUGAAAUAUUUUUAUGAAGGUGGAUUUGAUAGUAAAUUUAAAAAUUAAAUUAAAUUGAUUAUAGCUCUAAAAUAUGUAC
Molecule: ribosomal RNA, 360 nt
Filed under: Lutzomyia noguchii
Lineage: Eukaryota; Metazoa; Arthropoda; Insecta; Diptera; Psychodidae
Description: partial 12S ribosomal RNA
Source: RNAcentral